Molecule: small RNA, 704 nt
Filed under: Pongo abelii (Sumatran orangutan)
Lineage: Eukaryota; Metazoa; Chordata; Mammalia; Primates; Hominidae
Description: processed transcript
Source: RNAcentral
GGUGAGCCCUCUCUCUUGCUCUUGCUUGCUUGCACUGAUGAAGUAAGCUGCCACGUUGUGAGAUGCUCUACGAAGAGGCCCAUGAGGCAGGGCACCGAGGGAGGCUUCUGGCCAACAGCUCCUGGGGAACUAAGGCCUUAGGAAGCGAGUCCUGCCAACAAUAACCAGAGCCUUGAACUUUGGAACCACAGUGCCUUGUUCCAGCGCGGAAAGCAGCGUGGCACUUCCCUGUGGUGAAAGCACCCCAGCUUGAAAGGGUAAAAACACCUUCUCCCAGAUAGUCUCCCUUUGUUUAGCCAGUGCUUUUUGCCAGUGGUCACCUUAAGGAAAUCAAACGAAGGGGUCAGUCAGGAGUGGAUCUGGAGCUGGAGAACUCUCAAUACGCCACUUCAGUUUAUUGACGACAUUUAUAAUUGCAACGGAAGUUGACUGAUUUCUGCUAAAUGAAAGUUUGCGCUUUGCCCUUUAGCAUUGAGGCUCCUGGAAAGAACUUCAAUGAAAUUGGGUGCAUUGAGACCAAAGAAAAGAAGGGGACAUUUUUAUCUCUCUGAUACCUUUCUCCCCAGGGCUUGGAAACACUUCUUAAACACAACCUCUGAAGUUGGUGUUUUAUUUGAGGCUUAAGCAACUUCUUCCGGGGAAAAGUGCCAGUGCAGCCGCUGUUGCAAUUCAAGAUCUUGAUCUAUAUCCAUAGAUUGGAAUAU